UCCCUGGAGGACUAGUGGUUAUGCCUCGGUGCUCUCACCUGCGCGGCACGGGUUCAAUUCCCGGCCAGGGAA
Molecule: transfer RNA, 72 nt
Filed under: Pangasianodon hypophthalmus (striped catfish)
Lineage: Eukaryota; Metazoa; Chordata; Actinopteri; Siluriformes; Pangasiidae
Description: tRNA-Glu
Rfam family: tRNA
About the family: Transfer RNA (tRNA) molecules are approximately 80 nucleotides in length. Their secondary structure includes four short double-helical elements and three loops (D, anti-codon, and T loops). Further hydrogen bonds mediate the characteristic L-shaped molecular structure. tRNAs have two regions of fundamental functional importance: the anti-codon, which is responsible for specific mRNA codon recognition, and the 3' end, to which the tRNAs corresponding amino acid is attached (by aminoacyl-tRNA synthetases). tRNAs cope with the degeneracy of the genetic code in two manners: having more than one tRNA (with a specific anti-codon) for a particular amino acid; and 'wobble' base-pairing, i.e. permitting non-standard base-pairing at the 3rd anti-codon position.
Source: RNAcentral